ACAGCAGUAGCCACGGGAAUACGAAGGGGGCUAGCGUUGUUCGGAUUUACUGGGCGUAAAGGGCGCGUAGGCGGACUGAUAAGUCAGGGGUGAAAUCCCAAGGCUCAACCUUGGAACUGCCUUUGAUACUGUUUGUCUUGAGUUCGAGAGAGGUAAGUGGAACUGCGAGUGUAGAGGUGAAAUUCGUAGAUAUUCGCAAGAACACCAGUGGCGAAGGCGGCUUACUGGCUCGAAACUGACGCUGAGGCGCGAAAGCGUGGGGAGCAAACAGGAUUAGAUACCCCUGUAGUCCCUGUCUCUUAUAC
This 305-nucleotide ribosomal RNA is filed under the name uncultured bacterium. RNAcentral's name for it is "partial 16S ribosomal RNA". It matches the Rfam family "Bacterial small subunit ribosomal RNA", at positions 505 to 807 of the family's 1533-position model. The record is from RNAcentral.